Molecule: ribosomal RNA, 21 nt
Filed under: Metarhizium anisopliae
Lineage: Eukaryota; Fungi; Ascomycota; Sordariomycetes; Hypocreales; Clavicipitaceae
Also listed under: 6 other names
Description: partial 28S ribosomal RNA
Source: RNAcentral
UUGACCUCGAAUCAGGUAGGA